This 253-nucleotide ribosomal RNA is filed under the name uncultured bacterium. Its description in RNAcentral is "partial 16S ribosomal RNA". It matches the Rfam family "Bacterial small subunit ribosomal RNA", at positions 524 to 776 of the family's 1533-position model. The record is from RNAcentral.
GACGGAGGGCGCAAGCGUUGUUCGGAAUUACUGGGCGUAAAGCGCGGGCAGGCGGUCUGUUAAGUCGAUUGUGAAAACCCGGGGCUCAACCCCGGGAAUGCGUACGAUACUGGCAGGCUGGAGACCGGUAGAGGCUAGCGGAAUUCCUGGUGUAGCGGUGGAAUGUGUAGAUAUCAGGAAGAACACAUGUGGCGAAGGCGGCUAGCUGGGCCGGGUCUGACGCUCAUCCGCGAAAGCGUGGGGAGCAAACAGG